AUGUCCCCCGUGUGCAGGGCACUGAGAUGUCCCCCCUGUGUCCAGGCCCAGACCCCUGCUGGAAUGGAGGAGCAGCUGGGCUGUCUGGACCCCUCCCUGAACCUGGGCUGUCAGCCCUCAGCUCUGCAAGGCAUGGCUCAUCUGACCUCCACAAAUCAACCGGACGCUGGGGGCAGGGACCAUGAACGACCAGCAGCAGCAUGUGAAGGCCCUGGGAGCCCCCUGGGAGCUCCCGAGAUUGCUUUGGGAACCUGCGGGGGAAGGAAUGGGGAUCAGAGGAGAACGGCCCCGCAGAGCCCGUCCCCAACCAAGCCCUUGCUGUGGAAGUGCGUUUCUAGUCCCACUGCCCCUCCAUCGUGCUCUGGGCCCCAGCUCACUGCUGACCAGCUCUGCUGCCUCCAUGGUGCCCUCGGCAAGGCAGGGCGGGGGAGGGGCAGGGUCCCUCUUUCAGCUGCUCUGGGAUGUGCACCGCCCUCUGCCCCCUUACACCCUGCUCUGCAAGACGAGGCACGGGUAUCCCGGAAGGAGGGACAUGGGCGGAUGACCGAGGCCUUGUGCCUGGCGUGGCUUGUGAGGGAGAACACCCGGACGUCUGUUCAGCAGGAACUUGGCGACCGAAGACGGAGAGGUGGGGGUUCUGCCCUCCCUGGGGAGCAGCGCGGGUCUGCAGGCCACGAUCCCUCUCCUGCAGCCAAGGUCCCCUUCACCCGCACUCACGGGUGGGAAGGGAGCACACGCUUAACUCUGUCUCUGCCUUGUCCUCCUUCAGUGUCUCCUCAUUGGGCACCGGCCUCUUCCUCGCCUGCCUGCCUGCGGGUGCCUUGAGUGCACGGCUGUGCUGGUUUUCAGCGUCGGCGAGGGGCAUCCGGGGGCUGAGGAGAAGACACUCGCGGCAGCCUUCUGUUUGCAGGCCUUGGGUUCCUGUUCCAGCGUCUCUUACCUGAGCUCCCCUGUGCGGAAGGAGCAAUGCCAGCACCGGGACCCAGGAGGUGAGCAAGGCAGAAGUCUAACACCUUUCUCGGGGGGAGGGGUCGGGGAUCCAGCUUCCUACUCAUGUCCUGGAAGGAAAACAGCUCUCCCCCCCCCCCCCGCCCCAAACCCUUCCAUCCCACCCUCAGGAGGAGCCCGCCCCAGCAGUGACCUCCAGGCUUCGUGCAAAGACCCUAGACCCUUCCCGCUGCCCAUCCUUGCCUAGGGGAGCCUGCCCUUCCUGCAGAGGAACACACUGGGGUCAGGCCUGAGACCUUUUCCCACCACUGUGUUCUGCCACGUGUGGCCUCUGGUAGAGGUACUCACCGCCCCCCCCCCCCGAAGGGUCUCGAGUCAGUGCAGAGGCCUGGAGGGAGACAGGACCAUGGGCUCAGGGACUGCCAGACCCUCCCCGAGCACCCACGCGGGAAAGAGCCCACUCAGCUCACCAGAAGUGGUCUACGGUGCAGUGAGUCCACCCGUCGCGAGUGUCUUUUCUCUGCGUAAGGCAUGGCCAUCUCACGCUACUGUGGCGAUCAGCAGGCAAGCAGGCGCCCGCGCUGGGGAAGGAAAGAGGUCUUGUUCUCUCACCUGCAAGGAGAGCUGGAAGAGCGUCCUGUGGGGGGCGCACCUGCUAGGAAGCGUGUCGGGCCCCUCCCCUUCCCAGGGCGGGGUUUCCCGAAGGCCUCACAGGUGCUCCCUGAGAUCCGCUUUUCACUCUGAGGUCGGUGCCUGCUUUUCCAGGCGACGCUGAAACAGCAGCAGCUGGUCAGGGCAGGCGCUGCCCUCUGCCCUGGGAGCUUCUUCAGCCCUGCCUGCAGGCCCCAGGAGGCGGGCUCCAGGGGUCCGGCCCGUGGAACAGGGCUCACCACCUGCACCGACGCCCUGGCAGGUAUGUCC
RNAcentral lists this long non-coding RNA (1869 nucleotides) under Oryctolagus cuniculus (rabbit). Its description in RNAcentral is "lncRNA (ENSOCUG00000038830.1)". The record is from RNAcentral. Lineage: Eukaryota; Metazoa; Chordata; Mammalia; Lagomorpha; Leporidae.